GCCUACGGGGGGCAGCAGUGAGGAAUAUUGGUCAAUGGUCGGGAGACUGAACCAGCCAAGCCGCGUGAGGGAGGAAGGUACAGAGUAUCGUAAACCUCUUUUGUCAGGGAACAAAGGCGGGGACGUGUCCCCGGAUGAGUGUACCUGAAGAAAAAGCAUCGGCUAACUCCGUGCCAGCAGCCGCGGUAAUACGGAGGAUGCGAGCGUUAUCCGGAUUUAUUGGGUUUAAAGGGUGCGCAGGCGGGCUGUUAAGCCGGCGGUAAAAAUUCAGGGCUCAACCCUGUCGAG
Molecule: ribosomal RNA, 288 nt
Filed under: uncultured bacterium
Lineage: Bacteria
Description: partial 16S ribosomal RNA
Rfam family: Bacterial small subunit ribosomal RNA
Source: RNAcentral